RNAcentral lists this ribosomal RNA (1323 nucleotides) under Bartalinia robillardoides. RNAcentral describes it as "partial large subunit ribosomal RNA". It matches the Rfam family "Eukaryotic large subunit ribosomal RNA", at positions 68 to 1416 of the family's 3401-position model. The record is from RNAcentral. Lineage: Eukaryota; Fungi; Ascomycota; Sordariomycetes; Amphisphaeriales; Sporocadaceae.
ACAGGGAUUGCCUUAGUAACGGCGAGUGAAGCGGCAAUAGCUCAAAUUUGAAAUCUGGCGCUUGCGUCCGAGUUGUAAUUUGUAGAGGAUGAUUUUGGUUAGGUACCUUUCGAGUUCCUUGGAACAGGACGCCUUAGAGGGUGAGAGCCCCGUACGAUUGGAUGCCGAGCCUCUGUAAAUCUCCUUCGACGAGUCGAGUAGUUUGGGAAUGCUGCUCUAAAUGGGAGGUAAAUUUCUUCUAAAGCUAAAUACCGGCCAGAGACCGAUAGCGCACAAGUAGAGUGAUCGAAAGAUGAAAAGCACUUUGAAAAGAGGGUUAAAUAGCACGUGAAAUUGUUGAAAGGGAAGGAUUUAUGACCAGACUUUUUCUAGGAGAAUCAUCCGGUGUUCUCACCGGUGCACUUCUUUUAGUUUAGGCCAGCAUCGACUUUCGGCGGUGGAUAAAAGCUUUAGGAAUGUGGCUUCCCUCGGGAAGUGUUAUAGCCUAUUGUAUAAUACACUGCUGGGGGUCGAGGUACGCGCUUCUGCAAGGAUGCUGGCGUAAUGGUUAUCAAUCACCCGUCUUGAAACACGGACCAAGGAGUCGAACAUUUGUGCGAGUGUUUGGGUGUUAAACCCUCACGCGUAAUGAAAGUGAACGGAGGUGAGAGCCCUUACGGGUGCAUCAUCGACCGAUCCUGAUGUUUUCGGAUGGAUUUGAGUAAGAGCAUAAAUGUUCGGACCCGAAAGAUGGUGAACUAUGCGUGGAUAGGGUGAAGCCAGAGGAAACUCUGGUGGAGGCUCGCAGCGGUUCUGACGUGCAAAUCGAUCGUCAAAUCUGCGCAUGGGGGCGAAAGACUAAUCGAACCAUCUAGUAGCUGGUUACCGCCGAAGUUUCCCUCAGGAUAGCAGUGUUGUCUUCAGUUUUAUGAGGUAAAGCGAAUGAUUAGGGACUCGGGGGCGCUAUAUUGCCUUCAUCCAUUCUCAAACUUUAAAUAUGUAAGAAGCUCUUGUUACUUAGUUGAACGUGAGCAUUCGAAUGUACCAACACUAGUGGGCCAUUUUUGGUAAGCAGAACUGGCGAUGCGGGAUGAACCGAACGCGGGGUUAAGGUGCCGGAGUGGACGCUCAUCAGACACCACAAAAGGUGUUAGUACAUCUUGACAGCAGGACGGUGGCCAUGGAAGUCGGAAUCCGCUAAGGACUGUGUAACAACUCACCUGCCGAAUGUACUAGCCCUGAAAAUGGAUGGCGCUCAAGCGUCCCACCCAUACCUCGCCCUUAGGGUAGAAACGAUGCCCUAAGGAGUAGGCGGCCGUGGAGGUCAGUGACGAAGCCUAGGGC